GAGAGUAUUCAGUUUGAAGUGGGCACAAAGUUCUUUUACAUGAUGGCAAGGCUCAAGUACAGGGUAGUUACAAACAAUUUUACAAGAGACUAUGGAACUUAGAUUUACCUCUAAAAUAAAGAUUACAAUUUGGAGAUGCUCACGUAACUAUCUGCAAUUUACAUUAUCGAAGAAUGAUAGGGUAUGCAACCUGCAGAAGAUGCCAAUCGGGAGCGAAAACGAGUGAGCAUUUGUUUAGGAAUUGUUCUAUUGCAAAAGAAACAUGGGAGAGGUUAAAUAUUGUUUGGCCUGCUUCAGAAGAACAUACCAAUUUUACAGAAUGGCUUAAAAACUUUUUUGAGUCUCAUUCUAUUGUUAUAUGCAGGAUGUUUGUGUGCGCAUUAUGGGGGAUUCGGACUUCCUGAAAUAGAUUUAUUCAUGAGGGGGAAAUGAGAUCGGGAUCUCAAGUUGCAGAUUUUGUUACUAACUACCUACAUGAGUUAGAUGGUUUGACUUUGCUUUUACCUGAAAGAAGGAUCCACACGACCAGAUAGGUUGCUCCACAAGGGUUGAGAUUUAAGAUCAAUUUUGACGCAGCUUUCAAUAGACAAAAAAAUGAAUCGUGUUCUGGGUUAGUGGUUAGAAACGGAGAAGUUAUUUGUUCAAAAACUAUUAUUAAUGCGAAUAUACUUUCUGGUUUCGUAGCUGAAGCGUUGGCUUGUCUCCAGACAAUCAAUCUGGGUUUACACCUUGGGUUGAGGGACGUAGAGUUGAGGGUGACUCUCGGUCGGUUAUUUGUAAGCUGCAAGAGACGAAAGAAAAUAGAUCUGCGAUUGCUGAGUUCAUUGAAGAUUCAAAGAAAUUGUCCAUGGGUUUCAAAUAUUGUGGUUUUCUUUUCAUCAACAUGGAAGCCAACGAGGUUGCUCACAUUAUUGCUACUGAAGGUAUUAAAAAAGGGGAGAACACUUAUUUGUUGCAGAUGGUUCCUUAUGGCACUGCAGUGGUGGCGGAUGCUAGCGGAGAUGGACGAACUACUUGACGGAGACAAAAGGUCGGAGAGUUGAAGAGGAGAGUGAAAAGGGUUAUAAAGGAAACUAACUGUUUGUGUUUUCAAGCAGGGUUGCAUAUCUAAGAUUUUUUUGGUUCUUAAGAUGUUAUCUGUUGAAUUGAUGGGUGAUAAUUGUGAUUUUUGACGUCUUUUCCCAUUCGAUGUUGCUGCUUUCGAGAGGGGGAUUUUCUUGGAUUACAGUUGGGGCGCAAGGUCUCUAGAGCUCUCCUGUCGUUUCUGCUACUGGUUUUUGUUGGUUGGGCUACGUUAUUUUGUUUUUUGUUUUCAUUUCGUUUCUUUUUGGACCAUAUUUUUGUUUUGGUGUUUGGAUUGGGUGUGUUUCAUUUGUUUGGGCCUGACUUCAAUAAAAAUCCAGAAUUUCUUCAAAAAAAAAUUGUAAAUUAGGUCAAAUUUUGUUAUUAGUCCUAGUAUUAUGUGUAAGUUACAGA
RNAcentral lists this long non-coding RNA (1476 nucleotides) under Gossypium barbadense (sea-island cotton). RNAcentral describes it as "long non-coding RNA (GBAR_LNC011911)". Lineage: Eukaryota; Viridiplantae; Streptophyta; Magnoliopsida; Malvales; Malvaceae. The record is from RNAcentral.